RNAcentral lists this transfer RNA (87 nucleotides) under Flavobacteriales bacterium. RNAcentral describes it as "tRNA-Ser". It matches the Rfam family "tRNA". From Rfam's summary of the family: Transfer RNA (tRNA) molecules are approximately 80 nucleotides in length. Their secondary structure includes four short double-helical elements and three loops (D, anti-codon, and T loops). Further hydrogen bonds mediate the characteristic L-shaped molecular structure. tRNAs have two regions of fundamental functional importance: the anti-codon, which is responsible for specific mRNA codon recognition, and the 3' end, to which the tRNAs corresponding amino acid is attached (by aminoacyl-tRNA synthetases). tRNAs cope with the degeneracy of the genetic code in two manners: having more than one tRNA (with a specific anti-codon) for a particular amino acid; and 'wobble' base-pairing, i.e. permitting non-standard base-pairing at the 3rd anti-codon position. The record is from RNAcentral. Lineage: Bacteria; Pseudomonadati; Bacteroidota; Flavobacteriia; Flavobacteriales.
GGUGAGGUGGCCGAGUGGCUUAAGGCGCACGCUUGGAAAGCGUGUAAACGGGGAACUGUUUCGGGGGUUCGAAUCCCUUCCUCACCG